AUACUUACCUGGCAGGGCGAUACCAUGAUCACGAAGGUGAUUUCUCCAGGAUGAGGCUCACCCACUGCACUCCAGGUGUGCUGACCUCUGCGAUUUCCCCAAAUGUGGGAAACUCGACUGCGUAAUUUGUGGUAGUGAGGGACUGCGUUUGCGCUCUCCCCUG
This is a small nuclear RNA of Suncus etruscus (white-toothed pygmy shrew), 163 nucleotides long. RefSeq annotates it as U1 spliceosomal RNA. NCBI's taxonomy places the organism in Eukaryota, Metazoa, Chordata, Mammalia, Eulipotyphla, Soricidae. The record is from RefSeq and is a predicted model, not a curated record. The transcript has a single exon.